RNAcentral lists this ribosomal RNA (317 nucleotides) under uncultured Glomeromycotina. Its description in RNAcentral is "LSU rRNA". The record is from RNAcentral. Lineage: Eukaryota; Fungi; Glomeromycota.
UUGAAAGGGAAACGAUUGAAGUCAGUCGUACCUGUGGGUAAUCAGCCUUUUGGGUGUGAUUAUGUGGAGUGUGAAGAGUUAAACGCCUUUAUCCCUGCAUAUUCGUGCACUUUGGGUGUAUUUACCCGUGUGGUAAGUUAACAUCAAUUUUGGUCGUCAUAGAAUGGCUGGAGGAAUGUAGCUUCGAUCUCGUAUUGAAGUGUUAUAGCUUCGGUAGAUGUGGUGAUCGGGAUUGAGGAUUGCAACGAUACCUUCGGGGCUAACCCGUUAGAUCAAAUUGAUGGUGGAUGGGUCACAUCGUUAAGGAUGUUGACGUA